GACGAACGCUGGCGGCGUGCUUAACACAUGCAAGUCGAACGGAAAGGCCCUGCUUUUGUUGGGUGCUCGAUUGGCGAACGGGUGAGUAACACGUGAGUAACCUGCCCUUGACUUUGGGGUAACUUCAGGAAACUGGGGCUAAUACCGGAUAGGAGCUCCUGCUGCAUGGUGGGGGUUGGAAAGUGUCGGCGUUUGUGGAUGGACUCGCGGCUUAUCAGCUUGUUGGUGGGGUAGUGGCUUACCAAGGCUUUGACGGGUAGCCGGCCUGAGAGGGUGACCGGCCACAUUGGGACUGAGAUACGGCACCGACUGCUACGGGAGGCAGCAGUGGGGAAUCUUGCACAAUGGCCGGACGCCUGAUGAAGAAACGCUGCGUGCGGGAUGCCGGCCUUCGGGUUGUAAACAGCUUUCGCAUGUGACGAAGCGUGCGUGACGGUAAUGGGUAAAGAAGCACCGGCUAACUACGUG
RNAcentral lists this ribosomal RNA (468 nucleotides) under uncultured bacterium. Its description in RNAcentral is "partial 16S ribosomal RNA". It matches the Rfam family "Bacterial small subunit ribosomal RNA", at positions 28 to 507 of the family's 1533-position model. The record is from RNAcentral.